UACGUACUGUGCGAACGUUAUUCGGAAUCACUGGGCUUAAAGGGUGCGUAGGCGGCUAAUUAAGCAGGGUGUGAAAUCCCCCGGCUCAACCGGGGAAUAGCGCUCUGGACUGGUUGGCUUGAGUAAGGUAGGGGUGUGCGGAACUUCCAGUGGAGCGGUGAAAUGUGUUGAUAUUGGAAGGAACGCCAGCAGCGAAAGCGGCACACUGGGCCUUAACUGACGCUGAGGCACGAAAGCUAGGGUAGCGAACGGG
This 253-nucleotide ribosomal RNA is filed under the name uncultured bacterium. RNAcentral describes it as "partial 16S ribosomal RNA". It matches the Rfam family "Bacterial small subunit ribosomal RNA", at positions 524 to 776 of the family's 1533-position model. The record is from RNAcentral.